GUGGGGAAUAUUGGGCAUUGGUCGGAAGACUGACCCAGCCAUGCCGCGUGCAGGAAGACGGCCCUCUGGGUUGUAAACUGCUUUUAUCUGGGAAGAAAAAGGCCAUGCGUGGCAAAUUGCCGGUACCAGAUGAAUAAGCACCGGCUAACUCCGUGCCAGCAGCCGCGGUAAUACGGAGGGUGCGAGCGUUGUCCGGAUUUAUUGGGUUUAAAGGGUGCGUAGGCGGCUGAUUAAGUCAGCGGUGAAAGACUUCGGCUUAACCGGAGCAGUGCCGUUGAUACUGGUUGGCUUGAGUGUCGGAGGGGUACAUGGAAUUGAUGGUGUAGCGGUGAAAAGCAUAGAUACCAUCAGGAACACCGAUAGCGAAGGCAUUGUACUGGCCGACAACUGACGCUGAUGCACGAAAGUGUGGGGAUCGAACAGGAUUAGAAACCCGUGUAGUCC
RNAcentral lists this ribosomal RNA (444 nucleotides) under uncultured bacterium. RNAcentral's name for it is "partial 16S ribosomal RNA". It matches the Rfam family "Bacterial small subunit ribosomal RNA", at positions 354 to 796 of the family's 1533-position model. The record is from RNAcentral.